Molecule: ribosomal RNA, 254 nt
Filed under: uncultured bacterium
Lineage: Bacteria
Description: partial 16S ribosomal RNA
Rfam family: Bacterial small subunit ribosomal RNA
Source: RNAcentral
UACGGGGGGAGCAAGCGUUGUUCGGAUUUACUGGGCGUAAAGGGCGCGUAGGCGGUCAGCACAAGUCAGUUGUGAAAUCUCCGGGCUUAACUCGAAAAGGUCAACUGAUACUGUGCGACUAGAGUGCGGAAGGGGCAACUGGAAUUCUCGGUGUAGCGGUGAAAUGCGUAGAUAUCGAGAGGAACACCUGCGGCGAAGGCGGCAUUCUGGACCGAAACUGACGCUGAGGCGCGAAAGCCAGGGGAGCAAACGGG